AAAAUUGGAAAUUUUUGGUAAGUGGGAAGGUGUGGAAUAGGUAGGCAAAAGAUGAACAGUUGAAAGAUGGAACGAGUUGAAUCCGUUGAAAAAUGUGGAAAUUAGACGUAGGAAAACGAAAUCC
Molecule: long non-coding RNA, 124 nt
Organism: Syngnathus acus (greater pipefish)
Lineage: Eukaryota; Metazoa; Chordata; Actinopteri; Syngnathiformes; Syngnathidae
Exons: 3
Source: RefSeq, a predicted model, not a curated record